UGGGUGGCGAAGACAUCACGGCGUCCCCGCAGCAGCCCUCGCUGCUUGGGGAAAGCCUACCUGAGGGACGCAGCAGGGACAAUGUGGUGGGCCGGAGCGGACGGCAAACGCCGGCACCGGCGCCAUCACAGGGUCCUCGCGACGAUCCUCGCCUCUGGAGGUGUGCGGCAGGGACAAUACGGCAGUGCACCCAUCGGUGCUGAGCGCUGAUAGCAUGCACUACUAUAGUGUCUCCGCGGCAACCCUCGCUCCUUGCGGAGAUGCCCUCUGGAGGGAUGUGGCAGGGGCACUGCAGUAGUGCACCCGUCAGCGCUGAGCGCUGAUGGAAUACACCACCACAGUGUCUCCGCGGCAACCCUCGCCCCGUAGCCACUCACUAGAGGAGGUGUGGCAAGGACACGGCGACGGUGCAGCCGCCGCCGCCGAGCGCUGGUGGGAGCUCUAAAUCAAAAGUUGUGUUCAAAAUCAGAAAAUAGAAAAAAGAAAAGAAAAACGGAAGCCGAACCGGACCGGACCGGACCGACCAGCCCCGCCCGAGCCGCCCGGACGCUCCCACUGCCAGGCGGGCCCCGCCAUCGUCUUCCACCCCAACUGCAUCCGAAUUCUAUGGCCACGAAGCUCCCGAACUGCCCACGACUCCUCUCACAAUUCCGUCGCGCACGAACCACCAUAUCCAAAACCCCGCGCGUCACUUUG
Molecule: long non-coding RNA, 696 nt
Filed under: Brachypodium distachyon (stiff brome)
Lineage: Eukaryota; Viridiplantae; Streptophyta; Magnoliopsida; Poales; Poaceae
Description: long non-coding RNA (BDIS_LNC002174)
Source: RNAcentral